RNAcentral lists this ribosomal RNA (464 nucleotides) under Vreelandella stevensii. RNAcentral's name for it is "partial 16S ribosomal RNA". It matches the Rfam family "Bacterial small subunit ribosomal RNA", at positions 338 to 794 of the family's 1533-position model. Lineage: Bacteria; Pseudomonadati; Pseudomonadota; Gammaproteobacteria; Oceanospirillales; Halomonadaceae. The record is from RNAcentral.
CCUACGGGGGGCUGCAGUGGGGAAUAUUGGACAAUGGGCGAAAGCCUGAUCCAGCCAUGCCGCGUGUGUGAAGAAGGCCUUCGGGUUGUAAAGCACUUUCAGUGGGGAAGAAAGCCUUGGGGCUAAUACCCUCGAGGAAGGACAUCACCCACAGAAGAAGCACCGGCUAACUCCGUGCCAGCAGCCGCGGUAAUACGGAGGGUGCGAGCGUUAAUCGGAAUUACUGGGCGUAAAGCGCGCGUAGGCGGUCUGAUAAGCCGGUUGUGAAAGCCCCGGGCUCAACCUGGGAACGGCAUCCGGAACUGUCAGGCUAGAGUGCAGGAGAGGAAGGUAGAAUUCCCGGUGUAGCGGUGAAAUGCGUAGAGAUCGGGAGGAAUACCAGUGGCGAAGGCGGCCUUCUGGACUGACACUGACGCUGAGGUGCGAAAGCGUGGGUAGCAAACAGGAUUAGAUACCCUGGUAGU